CAAAGGGUAGUUUAAAUAAAAUAUUAAUUUUGGGGAUUAGUGAUAAGAAGUUUUCUUUCCUUUGA
This 65-nucleotide transfer RNA is filed under the name Cosmetura nigrogeniculata. RNAcentral's name for it is "tRNA-Pro". The record is from RNAcentral. Lineage: Eukaryota; Metazoa; Arthropoda; Insecta; Orthoptera; Tettigoniidae.